RNAcentral lists this ribosomal RNA (497 nucleotides) under uncultured bacterium. RNAcentral describes it as "partial 16S ribosomal RNA". It matches the Rfam family "Bacterial small subunit ribosomal RNA", at positions 28 to 507 of the family's 1533-position model. The record is from RNAcentral.
GAUGAACGCUGGCGGCGUGCCUAAUACAUGCAAGUCGAGCGAACAGAUGAGGAGCUUGCUCCUCUGACGUUAGCGGCGGACGGGUGAGUAACACGUGGAUAACCUACCUAUAAGACUGGGAUAACUUCGGGAAACCGGAGCUAAUACCGGAUAAUAUAUUGAACCGCAUGGUUCAAUAGUGAAAGACGGUUUUGCUGUCACUUAUAGAUGGAUCCGCGCCGCAUUAGCUAGUUGGUAAGGUAACGGCUUACCAAGGCAACGAUGCGUAGCCGACCUGAGAGGGUGAUCGGCCACACUGGAACUGAGACACGGUCCAUACUCCUACGGGAGGCAGCAGUAGGAAAUCUUCCGCAAUGGGCGAAAGCCUGACGGAGCAACGCCGCGUGAGUGAUGAAGGUCUUCGGAUCGUAAAACUCUGUUAUUAGGGAAGAACAAAUGUGUAAGUAACUAUGCACGUCUUGACGGUACCUAAUCAGAAAGCCACGGCUAACUACGUG